This 496-nucleotide ribosomal RNA is filed under the name uncultured bacterium. RNAcentral describes it as "bacterial SSU rRNA". It matches the Rfam family "Bacterial small subunit ribosomal RNA", at positions 345 to 861 of the family's 1533-position model. The record is from RNAcentral.
GAGGCAGCAGUGGGGAAUCUUGCACAAUGGGGGAAACCCUGAUGCAGCGACGCCGCGUGAGCGAUGAAGCCCUUCGGGGUGUAAAGCUCUUUCGGCAGGGAAGAUAGUGACGGUACCUGCAGAAGCAGCUGCGGCUAACUACGUGCCAGCAGCCGCGGUAAUACGUAGGCAGCGAGCGUUGUUCGGAGUUACUGGGCGUAAAGGGUGUGUAGGCGGUUGUUUAAGUUUGGUGUGAAAUCUCCCGGCUCAACUGGGAGGGUGCGCCGAAUACUGAGCGACUAGAGUGCGGGAGAGGAAAGUGGAAUUCCUGGUGUACGGUGAAAUGCGUAAUAUCAGGAGGAACACCGGUGGUGUAGACGGCUUUCUGGACCGUAACUGACGCUGAGACACGAAAGCGUGGGUAGCAAACAGGAUUAGAUACCCUGGUAGUCCACGCCCUAAACGAUGCAUAUUGGUGUGGGCCAGUUCAUUCUGUCCGUGCCGGACUAAACGCCGU